GAUGAACGCUGGCGGCGUGCCUAAUACAUGCAAGUCGAGCGAACAGACGAGGAGCUUUCUCCUCUGACGUUAGCGGCGGACGGGUGAGUAACACGUGGAUAACCUACCUAUAAGACUGGGAUAACUUCGGGAAACCGGAGCUAAUACCGGAUAAUAUAUUGAACCGCAUGGUUCAAUAGUGAAAGACGGUUUUGCUGUCACUUAUAGAUGGAUCCGCGCCGCAUUAGCUAGUUGGUAAGGUAACGGCUUACCAAGGCAACGAUGCGUAGCCGACCUGAGAGGGUGAUCGGCCACACUGGAACUGAGACACGGUCCAGACUCCUACGGGAGGCAGCAGUAGGGAAUCUUCCGCAAAGGGCGAAAGCUUGACGGAGCAACGCCGCGUGAGUGAUGAAGGUCUUCGGAUCGUAAAACUCUGUUAUUAGGGAAGAACAAAUGUGUAAGUAACUAUGCACGUCUUGACGGUACCUAAUCAGAAAGCCCCGGCUAACUACGUG
RNAcentral lists this ribosomal RNA (497 nucleotides) under uncultured bacterium. Its description in RNAcentral is "partial 16S ribosomal RNA". It matches the Rfam family "Bacterial small subunit ribosomal RNA", at positions 28 to 507 of the family's 1533-position model. The record is from RNAcentral.